RNAcentral lists this ribosomal RNA (2863 nucleotides) under Salmonella enterica subsp. enterica serovar Enteritidis. RNAcentral describes it as "bacterial LSU rRNA". It matches the Rfam family "Bacterial large subunit ribosomal RNA". The record is from RNAcentral. Lineage: Bacteria; Pseudomonadati; Pseudomonadota; Gammaproteobacteria; Enterobacterales; Enterobacteriaceae.
GGGUUGUGAGGUUAAGCGACUAAGCGUACACGGUGGAUGCCCUGGCAGUCAGAGGCGAUGAAGGGCGUGCUAAUCUGCGAUAAGCGCCGGUAAGGUGAUAUGAACCGUUAUAACCGGCGAUACCCGAAUGGGGAAACCCAGUGUGAUUCGUCACACUAUCAUUAACUGAAUCCAUAGGUUAAUGAGGCGAACCGGGGGAACUGAAACAUCUAAGUACCCCGAGGAAAAGAAAUCAACCGAGAUUCCCCCAGUAGCGGCGAGCGAACGGGGAGGAGCCCAGAGCCUGAAUCAGCAUGUGUGUUAGUGGAAGCGUCUGGAAAGGCGCGCGAUACAGGGUGACAGCCCCGUACACAAAAGCGCAUGUGCUGUGAGCUCGAUGAGUAGGGCGGGACACGUGGUAUCCUGUCUGAAUAUGGGGGGACCAUCCUCCAAGGCUAAAUACUCCUGACUGACCGAUAGUGAACCAGUACCGUGAGGGAAAGGCGAAAAGAACCCCGGCGAGGGGAGUGAAAAAGAACCUGAAACCGUGUACGUACAAGCAGUGGGAGCNNNNNNNNNNNNNNNNNNNNNNNNNNNNNNNNNNNNNNNNNNNGGGCGUUAAGUUGCAGGGUAUAGACCCGAAACCCGGUGAUCUAGCCAUGGGCAGGUUGAAGGUUGGGUAACACUAACUGGAGGACCGAACCGACUAAUGUUGAAAAAUUAGCGGAUGACCUGUGGCUGGGGGUGAAAGGCCAAUCAAACCGGGAGAUAGCUGGUUCUCCCCGAAAGCUAUUUAGGUAGCGCCUCGUGAAUUCAUCUCCGGGGGUAGAGCACUGUUUCGGCUAGGGGGCCAUCCCGGCUUACCAACCCGAUGCAAACUGCGAAUACCGGAGAAUGUUAUCACGGGAGACACACGGCGGGUGCUAACGUCCGUCGUGAAGAGGGAAACAACCCAGACCGCCAGCUAAGGUCCCAAAGUCAUGGUUAAGUGGGAAACGAUGUGGGAAGGCCCAGACAGCCAGGAUGUUGGCUUAGAAGCAGCCAUCAUUUAAAGAAAGCGUAAUAGCUCACUGGUCGAGUCGGCCUGCGCGGAAGAUGUAACGGGGCUAAACCAUGCACCGAAGCUGCGGCAGCGACACUGUGUGUUGUUGGGUAGGGGAGCGUUCUGUAAGCCUGCGAAGGUGGCCUGUGAGGGUUGCUGGAGGUAUCAGAAGUGCGAAUGCUGACAUAAGUAACGAUAAAGCGGGUGAAAAGCCCGCUCGCCGGAAGACCAAGGGUUCCUGUCCAACGUUAAUCGGGGCAGGGUGAGUCGACCCCUAAGGCGAGGCCGAAAGGCGUAGUCGAUGGGAAACGGGUUAAUAUUCCCGUACUUGGUGUUACUGCGAAGGGGGGACGGAGAAGGCUAUGUUGGCCGGGCGACGGUUGUCCCGGUUUAAGCGUGUAGGUGUGUGUUCCAGGUAAAUCCGGUUCACUUUAACACUGAGGCGUGACGACGAGGCACUACGGUGCUGAAGCAACAAAUGCCCUGCUUCCAGGAAAAGCCUCUAAGCAUCAGGUAACAUCAAAUCGUACCCCAAACCGACACAGGUGGUCAGGUAGAGAAUACCAAGGCGCUUGAGAGAACUCGGGUGAAGGAACUAGGCAAAAUGGUGCCGUAACUUCGGGAGAAGGCACGCUGACACGUAGGUGAAGUGAUUUACUCAUGGAGCUGAAGUCAGUCGAAGAUACCAGCUGGCUGCAACUGUUUAUUAAAAACACAGCACUGUGCAAACACGAAAGUGGACGUAUACGGUGUGACGCCUGCCCGGUGCCGGAAGGUUAAUUGAUGGGGUCAGCGCAAGCGAAGCUCCUGAUCGAAGCCCCGGUAAACGGCGGCCGUAACUAUAACGGUCCUAAGGUAGCGAAAUUCCUUGUCGGGUAAGUUCCGACCUGCACGAAUGGCGUAAUGAUGGCCAGGCUGUCUCCACCCGAGACUCAGUGAAAUUGAACUCGCUGUGAAGAUGCAGUGUACCCGCGGCAAGACGGAAAGACCCCGUGAACCUUUACUAUAGCUUGACACUGAACAUUGAGCCUUGAUGUGUAGGAUAGGUGGGAGGCUUUGAAGUGUGGACGCCAGUCUGCAUGGAGCCGACCUUGAAAUACCACCCUUUAAUGUUUGAUGUUCUAACGUGGACCCGUUACCCGGGUUGCGGACAGUGUCUGGUGGGUAGUUUGACUGGGGCGGUCUCCUCCUAAAGAGUAACGGAGGAGCACGAAGGUUGGCUAAUCCUGGUCGGACAUCAGGAGGUUAGUGCAAUGGCAUAAGCCAGCUUGACUGCGAGCGUGACGGCGCGAGCAGGUGCGAAAGCAGGUCAUAGUGAUCCGGUGGUUCUGAAUGGAAGGGCCAUCGCUCAACGGAUAAAAGGUACUCCGGGGAUAACAGGCUGAUACCGCCCAAGAGUUCAUAUCGACGGCGGUGUUUGGCACCUCGAUGUCGGCUCAUCACAUCCUGGGGCUGAAGUAGGUCCCAAGGGUAUGGCUGUUCGCCAUUUAAAGUGGUACGCGAGCUGGGUUUAGAACGUCGUGAGACAGUUCGGUCCCUAUCUGCCGUGGGCGCUGGAGAACUGAGGGGGGCUGCUCCUAGUACGAGAGGACCGGAGUGGACGCAUCACUGGUGUUCGGGUUGUCAUGCCAAUGGCACUGCCCGGUAGCUAAAUGCGGAAGAGAUAAGUGCUGAAAGCAUCUAAGCACGAAACUUGCCCCGAGAUGAGUUCUCCCUGAGACUUAGAGUCUCCUGAAGGAACGUUGAAGACGACGACGUUGAUAGGCCGGGUGUGUAAGCGCAGCGAUGCGUUGAGCUAACCGGUACUAAUGAACCGUGAGGCUUAACCUUACAACGCCGAAG